RNAcentral lists this long non-coding RNA (1819 nucleotides) under Gallus gallus (chicken). The record is from RNAcentral. Lineage: Eukaryota; Metazoa; Chordata; Aves; Galliformes; Phasianidae.
GCUACUUGCUCCUUUGUGUGCUGAAAGGCAUAACGGGGAGCGGGCCUCGGGCGACCAAGCGUGGGGAGGGCAGGGGAGAGCCGCCAGCUGCUGCUCCGCGUCCCAGGACGCCUUCCAGCGGGGGCCACAGCCGUGCAGGGCCCCGAGGCGUGGAGCUCGGCGCGGAGCUCGGCGCUGCCCAUGGAAACGGCGGGGACGGGACCUGCCCCGACCCUAACGCGAGAGCUCGAAGCGGUACUCCUGGCCGGGGUAGGGUCCGUAGCCGCUGUGCUGCAGCGAGUGUCGGCGGCGGAGGGCCACAACCCAUCCGGCGCCUCCCGCCCGCCCCGCUCUCGGACGACCGCGGAGCGCUGGGGCUGCGUAGCCCUCCCCGCCCCCGGCUCGCUCCCAGAGCUGCUCCGCAGGGAAUCGCACGGAGCGUUUCCCCCAUCUGUACGAGCCACGGCCCCCCUUGCCUCCUGCAGAGCCGCUGCCAUUAUGCUCCGGCGUCUCCUAGCCAGGCCUCGCGGCGGGCGGCCGGACGGGGCGGCGUGGACCAUAGCCAUGCCCGCCUGAGCCCGGCCGGGCCUGGGCCGCAGCAGUUACAGGUGCAGAGGGGCUCGGCAGUGCCACCGAGUUGGCAGCUCCUGGGAGGAGAGAGAGAGAGAGCCUCACGAAGAGCCAUCCCACAAGACAGCAGCGAGAUGGGGAUUGGCACAUAGUGAAGGUAGUUAAGGGUUGUGGAGUGCAAGGGUGAGUAGCCAAAGCUGAGCGGAGCAAGCACUGCUGUGUGGGGUAGCUGUUGGCCCUCCAGGAGGCAGGGAUGUGAGCAGCACAGCAGCACUGCUCUGGGCGUGGCAGGCUCACCAUGGGAGCUGUGGCCUUGGCUCUGAGGGCUGCAUGCAGCACUGGGACAGGACCAGCAGCCAUUUUGGUGGGGUGGGCCCCGGCCUCCUGUGGCCAUGGGGCCAUUGGGCGUGGGGUGCUGCACACUGCUUAGUGCCUCAAGUAAGGCUGAAUAGCAAAAAGAAAAAAAAAACAUCUCAGCAGCCAGCUCAAAGCUGUUAGGAGAGGGUCAAGGAACUGCUUUGCAGGCAUCUCGCUGCUGUGGAAAUGGAUUUUGUGAGGGGAGGGUGGUUCAUGCGUGGGUAAUCGCUGUAGUUAAUGCUGUGUGGAGAAGGAAAUAUGCCACUGAGCGGCCCCAGAUGUGGGAGCAGAAGGGAGGGCAGGCAGGAGCUGACCCUACAUGGCUGCCCCACAGGCAUGAGGGCAGAGGUGAUGCUGCUCCCCAUGGGCCAGGGGAGCAGAGCAGCAGCCCUGGGUAGCAGCUGUCUCCCUGUGCUGUGGCCAAGUCUGCCUGGUGCUGUAAGAGAGAUCCUGUGAGGAUUUUUAUUGCUGUCUCUUAGCUACAGCCAGGCAUGCAAACAGCUUUCAGCCAGGUUGUGGGAGGUAAGUGGGGGAGGAGAAGAGGGGAGUGGGGGGGCACAAAGCAAGGGGUGGCGGGACGGGGUCGGGGCUCAGUCGGCCCGCAGAGGCAAGCAGAGCUCCAUGCUUCCUGGGGAUGCGUUGGCAGCUCUGCAAGGGUUGCCAUAGUUUUUACGUAGGGUGACCAGAACCGGCUGGAACUGGUUUGAGGCAGAUCAGCUCUUGAACACAAUGCAGUCACUGAGCUGCUACAGUGGGAUAGCUUCCACCCUCCAUGGCAGCCAAAAGCAGAGGAGCUUGCAGAAAGAUACCAUCCCUAAACAAUAUGUGAAUGCACACUUAGACACACAGCACUGGCCUAUUGAUUGGGACUGCCUUUAACCCUUUCAUAUUUGCAGAGAUAGUCUGUCUGUGG